GUUCUUCAUCAUGGCAAUACAGUCUCUUGGGUUGAUGAUACAAGUCUUGAUGCUCUACCAUAUGUUCGCUGAGACUCAUCAAUGCAUUGCCUACGAUUCGACUGGAUUGAUAAGUGUACAAAGCACAACUGCCAUAUCCAAAGAUUGUCUCGAUUUAAGUCUGCGCACCCCAAAGUGUGUUUACUUUACAUGGGUUUCAACAGUGUGUACACUUCGGGUUCCCACAAG
Physella acuta is the source of this 228-nucleotide long non-coding RNA. RefSeq lists it as uncharacterized. NCBI's taxonomy places the organism in Eukaryota, Metazoa, Mollusca, Gastropoda, Physidae. The record is from RefSeq and is a predicted model, not a curated record.